UACGUAGGGCGCAAGCGUUGUCCGGAAUUAUUGGGCGUAAAGAGCUCGUAGGCGGCCUGUUACGUCUGCUGUGAAAUCCCGGGGCUUAACCCCGGGCGUGCAGUGGAUACGGGCAGGCUGGAGGCAGGCAGGGGAGAACGGAAUUCCCGGUGUAGCGGUGAAAUGCGCAGAUAUCGGGAGGAACACCGGUGGCGAAGGCGGUGAGCUGGGCAGUUGCUGACACUGAGGCGCGACAGCGUGGGGAGCAAACAGG
RNAcentral lists this ribosomal RNA (253 nucleotides) under uncultured bacterium. RNAcentral's name for it is "partial 16S ribosomal RNA". It matches the Rfam family "Bacterial small subunit ribosomal RNA", at positions 524 to 776 of the family's 1533-position model. The record is from RNAcentral.